Molecule: ribosomal RNA, 254 nt
Filed under: uncultured bacterium
Lineage: Bacteria
Description: partial 16S ribosomal RNA
Rfam family: Bacterial small subunit ribosomal RNA
Source: RNAcentral
UACGUAGGGGGCUAGCGUUGUCCGGAUUUACUGGGCGUAAAGGGCGCGUAGGCGGUCGUGACAAGUCACUUGUGAAAUCUCCGGGCUUAACUCGGAACGGUCAACUGAUACUGUGCGACUAGAGUGCAGGAGGGGCAACUGGAAUUCCCGGUGUAGCGGUGAAAUGCGCAGAUAUCGGGAGGAACACCAAUGGCGAAGGCAGCUCGCUGGGACGGUACUGACGCUGAGACGCGAAAGCGUGGGGAGCAAACAGG